GUCCUCACUGGCCUCCAAGUUUUCUAGGAUGAUGCAAUGUCCAGCCAUCAACACAUUUGUAAAGGAAUUUUUACUCCCGAAAAGAGCGCCCCCCCAUGGCAGGAGAAAAAAAGUCCAUUUUUUCUUGUCCCCUAAGGUGAAAAAACACAUUGUUGACUGUCACGCCUAUACGCUUUGUCAAAAUGACACAAAAUUUGACACACACGUGUAUCUCAAUAAGAUCUACGAAAAAGUCAAUGGGCACGUAUCUGUAAAAUGUACGGUUAAAGGGCUAUUUCGCAUUUUUUGCAGAUCUGCACACAUUGGAAUGUGGCUAACUCCUCCUAAGGCUUUCUUCCCACCGACACCAAAUUUGCUCAAGCCGAUCUACAUCCCAUGGCCAUUCAAAGUUGUAAAAAUCAUGCCGCUGCACCCCAUGGUUUACGUUCUAGGGGGCGCCAAAGAUGACCCAAAUAUCCACAUUCUUAAAAGAAUCCACAUCCCCCCCCCCCCCAAGGCAGGAGAAAAAGUCCAGUUAACCCUGCCCAUCGCUCAAAGGCUCAAUCGCAUCGCACGCCAGGCAACACCGUAAGGAGGAGCAACUUGCCAUUUGGAUAUAUCCUAGCUGUGUUUGUGCCCUCACUCAUGGUCCAGACUUUUUUCAAAUAGGACAUGUAGUUUGUCUGCAGCGACCGUUUUGGUAGAAACUGCGCCUCCCAUUCAUUAUAAUGGGAAAUGACCACAGACAAGUGCGCACACCAUCUUUGGACCUUGAGUGUGAUGCGAUCGGGAGGGGGAGGCGGUCGCGCUGGGGGCGGCGCGACGCAGCUCGGGCCCGACAGUGCCCCACCGGGGCCCUAGUUAUUUUUCCUCCCCUUUGAACUGGAAAAUGGCCCACUUCCCACUGGCGAAAACUCAUGAAAUUUGGCAGGACGACCGGGCCUGGUGAAAAAUUUGAUAUUCUGAAGUCGCCCAAACAAUAAAAUGCAAAAUGGCUCCAUAGCGCCCCCUAAGGUGAAAAUUCACACUAUUGACUGUCACGCCUGUACGCUUUGUCAUAUUGACACAAAAUUUGACACACACAUGUAUCUCAAUAAGAUCUACAAAAAAGUCAGUGCGGGCGUAUCUGUAAAAUGUACGGAUAAAGGGUUAUUUCGCAUUUUUUGCCGAUCCGCACACAUUGGAAUUUCGCUAACUCCUCCGAAGGCUUUCGUUCCACCGGCACCACAUUUGCUCAGGCCAAUCUACACCCCAUGGCCAUUAAAAGUUAUUCAAAUCAUGACGCUGCACCCCACGGUUUACGUUCUAGGGGGCGCCAAAGAUAACCCUAAAAUCCACAUAUUUAAAAGUCUUAUAACUUUUUAUUUUUGCCCUCACUGGCCUCCAAGUUUUCUAGGAUGAUGCAAUGUCCAGCCAUCAACACAUUUGUGAAGGAAUUUUUACUCCCCAAAAGAGCGCCCCCCCAUGGCAGGAGAAAAAAGUCCAUUUUUUCUUGUCCCCUAAGGUGAAAAUACACAUUGUUGAGUGUCACGCCUGUACGCUUUGUCAAAAUGACACAAAAAUUGACACACACAUGUAUCUCAAUAAGAUCUACGAAAAAGUCAAUGCGCGCGUAUCUGUCAAAUGUACGGUUAAAGGGUUAUUUCGCAUUUUUUGCCGAUUCGCACACAUUGGAAUUUCGCUAACUCCUCCGAAGGCUUUCGUUCCACCGGCACCACAUUUGCUCAGGCCAAAUUACACCCCAUGGCCAUUAAAAGUUAUUCAAAUCAUGACGCUGCACCCCACGGUUUAGGUUCUAGGGGGCGCCAAAGAUAACCCAAAAAUCCACAUAUUUAAAAGUCUUAUAACUUUUUAUUUUUGCCCUCACUGGCCUCCAAGUUUUCUAGGAUGAUGCAAUGUCCAGCCAUCAACACAUUUGUGAAGGAAUUUUUAAUCCCCAAAAGAGCGCCCCCCCAUGGCAGGAGAAAAAAGUCCAUUUUUUCUUGUCCCAUAAGAUGAAAAAACACAUUGUUGACUGUCAUACCUGUACGCUUUGUCAUAUUGACACAAAAUUUGACAAUCACAUGUAUCUCAAUAAGAUCUACGAAAAAGUCAAUGCGCGCGUAUCUGUAAAAUGUACGGUUAAAGGGCUAUUUUGCAUUUUUUGCCGAUUCGCACACAUUCGAAUGUGGCUAACUCCUCCUAAGGCUUUCGUCCCACUGACACCAAAUUUGCUCAGGCCAAUCUACACCCCAUGGCCAUUCAAAGUUUUAAAAAUCAUGACGCUGCACCCCACGGUUUAUGUUCUAGGGGGCGCCAAAGAUUACCCAAAUAUCCACAUUCUUAAAAGAAUCCACAUCCCCCAUCCCCCAACCCCCAUGGCAGGAGAAACAGUCAAGUUUUUCCUGCCCAUCACUCAAUGGCUCAAUCGCAUCACUCUCCCGGCAACACCGUAACGAGGAGCAACUUGCCGUUUGGAUAUAUCCUAGCUGUGUUUGUGCCCUCACUCAUGGUCCAGACUUUUUUCAAAUAGGACAUGUAGUUUGUCUGCAGCGAGUGUUUUGGUAGAAACUGCGCCUCCCAUUCAUUAUAAUGGGAAAUGACCACAGACAAGUGCGCACACCAUCUUUGGACCUUGAGUGUGACGCGAUCGGGAGGGGGAGGCGGUCGCGCUGGGGGCGGCGCAACGCGGCUCGGGCCCGACAGUGCCCCACCGGGGCCCUAGUUAUUUUUCCUCCCCUUUGAACUGGAAAAUGGCCCACUUCCCACUGGCGAAAACUCAUGAAAUUUGGCAGGACGACCGGGCCUGGUGAAAAAUUUGAUAUUCCGAAGUCGCCCAAACAAGAAAAUGCAAAAUGGCUCCAUAGCGCCCCCUAAGGUGAAAAAUUCACCUGACGCCUGUACGCUUUGUCAAAAUGACACAAAAAUUGACACACACAUGUAUCUCAAUAAGAUCUACAAAAAAGUCAGUGCGGGCGUAUCUGUCAAAUGUACGGUUAAAGGGUUAUUUCGCAUUUUUUGCCGAUCCGCACACAUUGGAAUUUCGCUAACUCCUCCGAAGGCUUUCGUUCCACCGGCACCACAUUUGCUCAGGCCAAUCUACACCCCAUGGCCAUUAAAAGUUAUUCAAAUCAUGACGCUGCACCCCACGGUUUAGGUUCUAGGGGGCGCCAAAGAUAGCACUAAAAUCCACAUAUUUCAAAGUCUUAUAACUUUUUAUUUUUGUCCUCACUGGCCUCCAAGUUUUCUAGGAUGAUGCAAUGUCCAGCCAUCAACACAUUUGUGAAGGAAUUUUUACUCCCCAAAAGAGCGCCCCCCCAUGGCAGGAGAAAAAAGUCCAUUUUUUCUUGUCCCCUAAGGUGAAAAUACACAUUGUUGAGUGUCACGCCUGUACGCUUUGUCAAAAUGACACAAAAAUUGACACACACAUGUAUCUCAAUAAGAUCUACAAAAGAGUCAAUGGGCGCGUAUCUGUCAAAUGUACGGUUAAAGGGUUAUUCCGCAUUUUUUGCCGAUUCGCACACAUUGGAAUUUCGCUAACUCCUCCGAAGGCUUUCGUUCCACCGGCACCACAUUUGCUCAGGCCAAAUUACACCCCAUGGCCAUUAAAAGUUAUUCAAAUCAUGACGCUGCACCCCACGGUUUACGUUCUAGGGGGCGCCAAAGAUAACCCAAAAAUCCACAUUUUUAAAAGUCUUUUAACUUUUUAUUUUUGUCCUCACUGGCCUCCAAGUUUUCUAGGAUGAUGCAAUGUCCAGCCAUCAACACAUUUGUGAAGGAAUUUUUACUCCCUAAAAGAGCGCCCCCCCCAUGGCAGGAGAAAAAAGUCCAUUUUUUCUUGUCCCCUAAGGUGAAAAUACACAUUGUUGACUGUCACGCCUGUACGCUUUGGCAAAAUGACACAAAAAUUGACAAUCAUGUGUAUCUCAAUUAGAUCUACGAAAAAGUCAAGAGCGCGUAUCUGUAUAAUGUACGGUAAAAGGGCUAUUUUGCAUUUUUUGCCGAUUCGCACAUAUUGGAAUUUCGCUAACUCCUCCUAAGGCUUUCGUCCCACUGACACCAAAUUUGCUCAGGCCAAUCUACACUCCAUGGCCAUUCAAAGUUGUAAAAAUCAUGACGCGGCACCCCACGGUUUACGUUUUAGGGGGCGCCAAAGAUGACCCAAAUAUACAUUACAGUAGACAAAGUAGUUUUGCCCACUGAGUGGCGCCAAAGGGACUUGUCUGUGGAGUCUGUGAGUCACUAUUGGCCGUUUUUGACUACUUUAGAUUUUACCUUUAUAUUUCCUCUUACAAAAUUUUUACCUUGCCUUGCCUGGUAUCAUUUUUUUCAGCACAACCUCACCUGUGUCAAUUUACAGUUAUUUUAUCAUUUUGACAUACUAUAUUUACACAUUGGACCCAAAUUCACACACAAAACAUAAAAUCCGAGUGGAAAAAAGUAACGUUUUUACUGUGAAAACCACAAAUAUGUGUGAUGAACUGUUUUUAAAACUUAAACUUCAAAUAAAAAUUGUAAACUUCAAAACAUAUGCAAAUUUUUAACAAAGAACAUAGUAAUUUACCUCUAUUUACAUCAAAAUGCAGGCAAUGGCCCAGGUGUUCUUUUUAAAAUUAUUUACAAAACACUGUAUAGUCUCACAAAUGUCACUUUUUAUUUAUGCCACUACAAAAAAACAUGAUGUAAAUGAUGCAUGAUGUAAAACAUGAUGUAAAAAACUUGUGUAGAUCCUCCUCUAUGUCAGUCCAUGUGUAAUUUUUCCAUAAUUCUUUGUUUUUUGCAGCAUUUUUGUUAGUGUAACUGCAGAUUGUGCUGACAGUGUCUAUGGCAAAAAAAAAAAAAAAACUGAAAAUGCCUCAACAUGAACCCCUGGUGGUCUCUGAGGGUGAAACCUGCUAACUGCUGCAGCUCUGUCAGCUUCAGUCUCCCAUGCAGAGCUCAGAGCGCAUGUGUGGCUCUGCACCCUUAGCAGCGUUGCUAACUCCUCAGUAAGGAAAGCCUGCUUCAUGUCAGAGUCUCUAAACUCCAGAAGAAGUCGAUAAAAGUCACUUUCUUUCUAAAAAAACGUUGUUAGGGGGUCUGAAAAGUCAUUGAAUCUAACAACAAAGUCGCUAGGUUUGCAACUACGUGUCCCAGACUGCAUCCCUGCUGAGAGUCCCUCCCUCCCUUCUCAUAUUGCAGGAAGAACGUAAGCGCCCGCCCCUUGUCAAUCAGUCACCAUAUAAUUUUGGAUUGGUUGUUGUGGUGAAGUUUUCCACCAAUAGGAGAGAUGUCGUGGUGUGUUUUUUUUCCUUUGGCAAGCCUUUUCCGCCUGUAAGACCUGUCGCUAAUGUCUGCAUGCUAUGUUUUCCUGUCUCAUACAGCGCGAUCGAGCGCCGAACGUGAUCAAAAUAAGCAGAAAACAAGUAUCGCGGACAUAAUUUAUCAUAACUCUGGUUUUAUUUGGCCUAUCAACACAAUUUAAAAACUGGUAUAUAGGUUGAGGUCCUCACUUUUGAGAUAAGUUGAAACGGAGAGUCAACGAGGCUCCGUCUUGCAGCUACAUCCGGUUAAAUAUGUCAUGUGACUUGAACGCACACACACACACACACACACACACACACACACACACACACACACAGACACACACACACACGCACACACACACACUCAGAGUCUGGUUUUUAGCACCUGCAAAAACAUGCUAUUUACAUAUUUGACAAGAAUGCAGAGGCUCCUUUUGCCCCUGAAAAAAAUCAAAUUUCAAACACAACUUGACUGGUCAUUUCUCCAAAAGACAACCAUGAAGCUCCAUCCAAACCUGAAGCAGGCAGUUGGUGCAUGUGUACAGUAACCUGAGGGGAGUGAGGUGACUGCUUCUGAGGAGAACAUGAGCAGUGAAGAUUCACCUUAGAGCUAGAACAGAGACGUGCACAUGAUUAUACAGGGGCAGGGGCUCAAGUUUUUUCCAGUUGUUUAUACAAUAUGGAAAUUAAUGUGAAAUUAAAAAACAAAGUAUUAAUAGAAAGGUAAUGACUGUCCUGUGUAGGUGACAGUGAUAUCCAAUAGGCUAGGCACUCACGAGGCUGGCUGUGGCAAGUGUAAGUGAAAGCAACACGCACUGGCAGGAAGAACAGCAAACGCCGAUGAAGGAAAAGGGUCUUUGCAGUGAUGGGCGUUACCAGAGAGGGCGAUGGCCAGAGGACACAAAUGGGACGGGGAGGCAGCGCGUUGGGGGGGGGGGCGCGACACAGCUCGGGCCCGCCAGUGCCCCAACGGGGUCCUAGUUAGGGCCCGAGCGUAGCUGCUAAGCAGCUGCGAGAGCCCUCUUGUUCCUGUAGUUUCCUUCUUUUGUUAUUAGGGCCCGAGCGUAGCUGCUAAGCAGCUGCGAGAGCCCUAUUAUUCCCCAAGUGGUUUUUCUUUGUUUCUUUUUUCUUUUUCCUCCCCUUUGAACUGGAAAAUGGCCCACUUCCCACUGGCGAAAACUCAUGAAAUUUGGCAGGACGACCGGGCCUGGUGAAAAAUUUGAUAUUCCGAAGUCGCCCAAACAAUAAAAUGCAAAAUGGCUCCAUAGCGCCCCCUAAGGUGAAAAUUCACAUGACGGCUGUACGCUUUGUCAUAUUGACACAAAAAUUGACACACACAUGUAUCUCAAUAAGAUCUACAAAAAAGUCAGUGCAGGCGUAUCUGUCAAAUGUACGGUUAAUGGGUUAUUUUGCAUUUUUUGCAGAUCUGCACACAUUGGAAUUUCGCUAACUCCUCCGAAGGCUUUCGUUCCACCGGCACCACAUUUGCUCAGGCCAAUCUACACCCCAUGGCCAUUAAAAGUUAUUCAAAUCAUGACGCUGCACCCCACGGUUUAGGUUCUAGGGGGCGCCAAAGAUAACACUAAAAUCCACAUAUUCAAAAGUCUUAUAACUUUUUAUUUUUGCCCUCACUGGCCUCCAAGUUUUCUAGGAUGAUGCAAUGUCCAGCCAUCAACACAUUUGUGAAGGAAUUUUUACUCCCCAAAAGAGCGCCCCCCCAUGGCAGGAGAAAAAAUUCCAUUUUUUCUUGUCCCCUAAGGUGAAAAUACACAUUGUUGAGUGUCACGCCUGUACGCUUUGUCAAAAUGACACAAAAAUUGACACACACAUGUAUCUCAAUAAGAUCUACAAAAAAGUCCAUGCGCGCGUAUCUGUCAAAUGUACGGUUAAAGGGUUAUUCCGCAUUUUUUGCCGAUUCGCACACAUUGGAAUUUCGCUAACUCCUCCGAAGGCUUUCGUUCCACCGGCACCACAUUUGCUCAGGCCAAUCUACACCCCAUGGCCAUUAAAAGUUAUUCAAAUCAUGACGCUGCACCCCACGGUUUACGUUCUAGGGGGCGCCAAAGAUAACCCAAAAAUCCACAUUUUUAAAAGUCUUAUAACUUUUUAUUUUUGUCCUCACUGGCCUCCAAGUUUUCUAGGAUGAUGCAAUGUCCAGCCAUCAACACAUUUGUGAAGGAAUUUUUACUCCCUAAAAGAGCGCCCCCCAUGGCAGGAGAAAAAAUUCCAUUUUUUCUUGUCCCCUAAGGUGAAAAUACACAUUGUUGACUGUCACGCCUGUACGCUUUGGCAAAAUGACACAAAAAUUGACAAUCAUGUGUAUCUCAAUUAGAUCUACGAAAAAGUCAAAGAGCGC
Molecule: non-coding RNA, 7599 nt
Organism: Xyrichtys novacula (pearly razorfish)
Lineage: Eukaryota; Metazoa; Chordata; Actinopteri; Labriformes; Labridae
Source: the annotation of a GenBank genome assembly